Molecule: ribosomal RNA, 433 nt
Filed under: uncultured bacterium
Lineage: Bacteria
Description: partial 16S ribosomal RNA
Rfam family: Bacterial small subunit ribosomal RNA
Source: RNAcentral
AACGAACGCUGGCGGCAUGCCUAACACAUGCAAGUCGAACGAGACCUUCGGGUCUAGUGGCGCACGGGUGCGUAACGCGUGGGGAUCUACCCUCAGGUUCGGAAUAACUCAGAGAAAUUUGAGCUAAUACCGGAUGAUGACGUAAGUCCAAAGAUUUAUCGCCUGAGGAUGAGCCCGCUUAGGAUUAGGUAGUUGGUGAGGUAAAGGCUCACCAAGCCGACGAUCCUUAGCUGGUCUGAGAGGAUGAUCAGCCACACUGGGACUGAGACACGGCCCAGACUCCUACGGGAGGCAGCAGUGGGGAAUAUUGGACAAUGGGCGAAAGCCUGAUCCAGCAAUGCCGCGUGAGUGAUGAAGGCCUUAGGGUUGUAAAGCUCUUUUACCCGGGAUGAUAAUGACAGUACCGGGAGAAUAAGCUCCGGCUAACUCCGUG